This 253-nucleotide ribosomal RNA is filed under the name uncultured bacterium. RNAcentral's name for it is "partial 16S ribosomal RNA". It matches the Rfam family "Bacterial small subunit ribosomal RNA", at positions 524 to 776 of the family's 1533-position model. The record is from RNAcentral.
UACGAAGGUGGCAAGCGUUGUUCGGAUUUACUGGGCGUACAGGGAGCGUAGGCGGGUCUUUAAGUCAGGGGUGAAAUCCUGGAGCUCAACUCCAGAACUGCCUUUGAUACUGAGGAUCUUGAGUCCGGGAGAGGUGAGUGGAACUGCGAGUGUAGAGGUGAAAUUCGUAGAUAUUCGCAAGAACACCAGUGGCGAAGGCGGCUCACUGGCCCGGUACUGACGCUGAGGCACGAAAGCGUGGGGAGCAAACAGG